AUUGAACGCUGGCGGCAGGCCUAACACAUGCAAGUCGAACGCGUGGCGGGCGGGUGAGAAAUGUCUGGGAAACUGCGCGAUGGAGGGGGAUAUCUCCAGGGGACGGUGUCUCUAACACCAUACCAUCGGAUGUGUCCCGAUGGGAUUAGAGUUUAGGGGAGGUAACGGAUCACCUAGGGGACGCUCCCUAGCUGGUCUGAGAGGAUGACAAGCCACACGGGAACUGAUACACGGUCCAGACACCUACGGGAGGCAGCAGUGGGGAAUAUUGCACAAUGGGCGAAAGCCUGAUGCAGACAUGCCGCGGGGAUGAAGAAGGCCUUCGGGUUGUAAAGUACUUUCAGCGGGGAGGCGUUACCCGCAGAAGAAGCACCGGCUAACUCCGUGCCAGCAGCCGCGGUAAUAC
Molecule: ribosomal RNA, 406 nt
Filed under: uncultured bacterium
Lineage: Bacteria
Description: partial 16S ribosomal RNA
Rfam family: Bacterial small subunit ribosomal RNA
Source: RNAcentral